Molecule: unclassified non-coding RNA, 457 nt
Filed under: Hevea brasiliensis (rubber tree)
Lineage: Eukaryota; Viridiplantae; Streptophyta; Magnoliopsida; Malpighiales; Euphorbiaceae
Source: RNAcentral
CAAAAGGUUCUUGCAUUUCGGGAUAUCAAUCCUCAAGCUCCUGUUCAUGUUCUAAUUAUCCCGAAGUCGAGGGAUGGAUUAACAGAGCUUGGAAAGGCUGAACAAAGACAUGAAGAUAUAUUGGGCAACCUCCUUUAUGCUGCCAAGAUAGUAGCGGAGAAAGAAGGCAUCGUAGAUGGUUUUCGAGUUGUCAUUAAUAGUGGUCCCUCAGCAUGUCAAUCUGUAUACCAUCUUCACUUGCACGUACUUGGCGGAAGACAGCUGAAAUGGCCCCCGGGUUAGAAUCAAGCUUGGUUGGGAGCAAGUACUCCAUUUAUCUGCAUUGAUGUAAUAUGACACGUGUACCGAUGUUCAACAUCUGUGUCAUGCAAUAAGUACUAUUGUUAGAUGUGAUUCAAGUAUAUUUGGUGAAUGACUACAGAUACUUCUCUUCAUUGCAGUAACCAGACUAACCGUG